UGGGGGAUUUUGGACAUGGGCGCAGCCUGUCCAGCCUGCCGCGUGCAGGAUGAAGGCCUUCGGGUUGUAAACUGCUUUUGUACGGAACGAAACGGCCUUUUCUAAUAAAGAGGGCUAAUGACGGUACCGUAAGAAUAAGCACCGGCUAACUACGUGCCAGCAGCCGCCGGUAAUA
RNAcentral lists this ribosomal RNA (175 nucleotides) under uncultured bacterium. RNAcentral's name for it is "partial 16S ribosomal RNA". It matches the Rfam family "Bacterial small subunit ribosomal RNA", at positions 355 to 525 of the family's 1533-position model. The record is from RNAcentral.